RNAcentral lists this ribosomal RNA (1325 nucleotides) under metagenome. Its description in RNAcentral is "bacterial LSU rRNA". It matches the Rfam family "Bacterial large subunit ribosomal RNA", at positions 1561 to 2925 of the family's 2925-position model. The record is from RNAcentral.
AGUGGAUGGGGAGCAACCUAGUUGUGCGUGUGUAAAGGUAGUGCCAAGAAAAGCGAUGAUCAUGUUGAAAAUCAAUUCCCGAUACCCGAAACCGACACAGGUGGGCAAGUAGAGAAUACUAAGGGGCGCGAGGUAACUCUCUCCAAGGAACUCGGCAAAAUGACCCCGUGACUUAGGGAGAAGGGGUGCCACCGAGAGGUGGUCGCAGUGAAGAGGCCCAGGCGACUGUUUAGCAAAAACAUAGGUCUCUGCAAACUCGAAAGAGGAGGUAUAGGGGCUGACGCCUGCCCAGUGCCGGAAGGUUAAAGAAGUUGGUCAGUUUUAGGAUGAAGCUAGCGACUGAAGCCCCGGUGAACGGCGGCCGUAACUAUAACGGUCCUAAGGUAGCGAAAUUCCUUGUUGGGUAAGUUCCGACCCGCACGAAAGGCGUAACGAUCUGGGCGCUGUCUCGGAGAGAGGCUCGGCGAAAUAGGAUUGUCUGUGAAGAUACGGACUACCUGCAUUUGGACAGAAAGACCCUAUGAAGCUUUACUAUAGCUUGGAAUUGUGUUCGGGCUUCCUGUGCGCAGGAUAGGUGGGAGGCGUAGAAGGUAUUCUUGUGGGGAUACUGGAGCCAACGGUGAGAUACCACUCUCAGGAGGCUAGAAUUCUAACUUAAUUAAGGACAGUUUCAGGUGGGUAGUUUGACUGGGGCGGUCGCCUCCAAAAAGGUAACGGAGGCGUACAAAGGUUCCCUCAGACUGUUGGAAAUCAGUCGAAGAGUGCAAAGGCAGAAGGGAGCUUGACUGCGAGAAGUACAGUUCGAGCAGGGUGGAAACACGGUCUUAGUGAUCCGACGGUGCUGUGUGGAAGGGCCGUCGUUCAACGGAUAAAAGUUACUCUAGGAUAACAGGCUGAUCUCCCCCAAGAGUUCACAUCGACGGGGAGGUUUGGCACCUCGAUGUCGGCUCAUCGCAACCUGGGGGCGGAAGUACGUCCCAAGGGUUGGGCUGUUCGCCCAUUAAAGCGGUACGUGAGCUGGGUUCAGAACGUCGUGAGACAGUUCGGUCCAUAUCCGAUGUAGGCGUGAGAAUAUUGAGAGGAGCCUUCCUUAGUACGAGAGGACCGGGAAGGACGCACCGCUGGUGUACCUGUUAUGAUGCCAAUUGUAAACGCAGGGUAGCCAAGUGCGGAGAGGAUAACCGCUGAAAGCAUCUAAGUGGGAAGCCCACCUCAAGAUGAGUAUUCUGGUGUAAGGUCACGGGAAGACGACCCGUAAAUAGGCACGAGGUGGAAGUGCAGAGAUGUAUGAAGCCGAAGUGUACUAAUAGACCGUCGGCUUGACC